CCGCCAUUAGCUCAUUAUGGAAGAGCGUACGACCAUUUCAGUUGUAGGUUCGGGGUUCGAGACCUCGAUGGCGGACCA
RNAcentral lists this transfer RNA (78 nucleotides) under Yersinia nurmii. Its description in RNAcentral is "tRNA-OTHER". The record is from RNAcentral. Lineage: Bacteria; Pseudomonadati; Pseudomonadota; Gammaproteobacteria; Enterobacterales; Yersiniaceae. RNAcentral also lists the same sequence under 2 other names.